RNAcentral lists this unclassified non-coding RNA (514 nucleotides) under Hevea brasiliensis (rubber tree). The record is from RNAcentral. Lineage: Eukaryota; Viridiplantae; Streptophyta; Magnoliopsida; Malpighiales; Euphorbiaceae.
AGGAGGUUGGGCCUGAUGCUGCUCGGAAGUUUUUGGGACAUACACAGUGGCUUGUUAAUUAUUGGCUUCUUCAGCAAGCUUUUAGCAUCGGGAUAGGAGAUACAAUUGCUGAUGCUUCAACGAUGGAGAAAAUUAAUGAAACUAUCUCGAAUGCAAAAGCCAAAGUCAAAGAACUUAUUAAAGCUGCUCAAGAGAAGCUGUUAGAAGCUGAACCAGGGCGAACUAUGAUGGAAUCAUUUGAGAACAGAGUGAACCAGGUGUUAAAUAAGGCUCGUGAUGAUGCUGGAAGCAGUGCAGAGAAGAGUUUAUCAGAGAGCAAUAAUCUUAAAGCUAUGGUUACUGCUGGAUCGAAGGGAAGUUUUAUCAACAUAUCUCAAAUGACUGCCUGUGUGGGGCAACAGAAUGUUGAAGGAAAACGUAUUCCAUUUGGUUUCAUAGACCGUACUCUUCCUCAUUUUACCAAAGAUGAUUAUGGUCCGGAAAGUCGUGGUUUUGUAGAGAAUUCAUAUCUCCG